This 483-nucleotide ribosomal RNA is filed under the name uncultured bacterium. RNAcentral describes it as "partial 16S ribosomal RNA". It matches the Rfam family "Bacterial small subunit ribosomal RNA", at positions 28 to 523 of the family's 1533-position model. The record is from RNAcentral.
GACGAACGCUGGCGGCGUGCUUAACACAUGCAAGUCGAACGAUGAAGCUGGAGCUUGCUCCGGUGGAUUAGUGGCGAACGAGUGAGUAACACGUGAGCAAUCUGCCCUUGACUCUGGGAUAACUGCGGGAAACUGUAGCUAAUACCGGAUACGAGGCACGAAGGCAUCUUCGGGUAUGGAAAGAAUUUCGGUCAAGGAUGAGCUCGCGGCCUAUCAGCUUGUUGGUGAGGUAAUGGCUCACCAAGGCGACGACGGGUAGCCGGCCUGAGAGGGUGACCGGCCACACUGGGACUGAGACACGGCCCAGACUCCUACGGGAGGCAGCAGUGGGGAAUAUUGCACAAUGGGCGAAAGCCUGAUGCAGCAACGCCGCGUGAGGGAUGAAGGCCUUCGGGUUGUAAACCUCUUUUAGCAGGGAAGAAGCGAAAGUGACGGUACCUGCAGAAAAAGCACCGGCUAACUACGUGCCAGCAGCCGCCGUAA